GUGGGGAAUAUUGGACAAUGGGCGGAAGCCUGAUCCAGCCAUGCCGCGUGUGUGAAGAAGGCCUUUUGGUUGUAAAGCACUUUAAGCGAGGAGGAGGCUACCGAGAUUAAUACUCUUGGAUAGUGGACGUUACUCGCAGAAUAAGCACCGGCUAACUCUGUGCCAGCAGCCGCGGUAAUACAGAGGGUGCAAGCGUUAAUCGGAUUUACUGGGCGUAAAGCGCGCGUAGGUGGCCAAUUAAGUCAAAUGUGAAAUCCCCGAGCUUAACUUGGGAAUUGCAUUCGAUACUGGUUGGCUAGAGUAUGGGAGAGGAUGGUAGAAUUCCAGGUGUAGCGGUGAAAUGCGUAGAGAUCUGGAGGAAUACCGAUGGCGAAGGCAGCCAUCUGGCCUAAUACUGACACUGAGGUGCGAAAGCAUGGGGAGCAAACAGGAUUAGAAACCCUUGUAGUCC
RNAcentral lists this ribosomal RNA (451 nucleotides) under uncultured bacterium. RNAcentral describes it as "partial 16S ribosomal RNA". It matches the Rfam family "Bacterial small subunit ribosomal RNA", at positions 354 to 796 of the family's 1533-position model. The record is from RNAcentral.